AUUGAACGCUGGCGGAAUGCUUUACACAUGCAAGUCGAACGGUAGAGGGGGCAACCCCUUGAGAGUGGCGAACGGGUGAGUAAUAUAUCGGAACGUGCCCAGUCGUGGGGGAUAACGUAGCGAAAGUUACGCUAAUACCGCAUACGAUCUACGGAUGAAAGCGGGGGACUCGUAAGAGCCUCGCGCGAUUGGAGCGGCCGAUAUCAGAUUAGGUAGUUGGUGGGGUAAUGGCCUACCAAGGCGACGAUCAGUAGCUGGUCUGAGAGGACGACCAGCCACACUGGAACUGAGACACGGUCCAGACUCCUACGGGAGGCAGCAGUGGGGAAUUUUGGACAAUGGGCGCAAGCCUGAUCCAGCCAUUCCGCGUGAGUGAAGAAGGCCUC
RNAcentral lists this ribosomal RNA (386 nucleotides) under uncultured bacterium. RNAcentral describes it as "bacterial SSU rRNA". It matches the Rfam family "Bacterial small subunit ribosomal RNA", at positions 30 to 418 of the family's 1533-position model. The record is from RNAcentral.